CUGGCCUUCUGGUUAACAUGGACGGUUCUUUUCUUUUUCUCUUCUGUUUCCCCUUUCUCUGUCUCCCCUCCUUAUCUUCUCCUGGGAUAAUGCUCAAAGAGGACAGGGGCUGGGGUGUGCCUUGGGGCGUGCAGUCACUGGGAAUGCUGUACUCUCUGUCUCCUCCAGCCGCACACCUCUCAAGUGGGCUUCUCAUCUCCAGGAGGCUGUGGGGUCCUCUCGGGAGGCUGGGGCUGCAUCUGGUAUUUCUCUUCAGCCCGCAUGAGCUGGGCCCCCAUGGUCCUCACCAGGUUGCCAGCUUCCAGGCCAGUGGUGGCUCCACUAGGCCACGGGUUUGAGGAGGAGUGAGAACACAUCCUGCGCGCAGCACUCGCCCACUGUCGGACCCCCGCUGUGUGCCACCUCCCGCUGCCUCCUGCUGCAGGGCAAGGUGGCUCUGAGGACUGACCCAGGACAGGGCCCGCCACGCUCCAGUGAGAAGCCAAUCACGCACUUCCCGAUGACCACUUUGCGAGGAGACAAUGGAUCGUUUCCUCUCUGUAAUUUUCUGCAUGGAGGUCUCCCUGUUGUCCCCUGGCCACAUCCUUACACACCUACAAGGUGUCUGCUGUGGGGCAGCUACUGUAGCAGGCAUGAGGACUACAGAGAGAAAAAUAAGUACUCUAUGCGCUGAAAAUGCUUAGAGUCCCAGCCAGGGACACACCCAAAGAGGAGCAGCUUUAGUUCAAAGCAUGUGGAUGCCGGGUAGAGGCCUCUUUGUGCCAAUUUUAGUUUGAUUUAGCACGGGACUCAUGGCUUUAUAGAAGGAGGAAGACAGACCUGAGCUGAUGU
RNAcentral lists this long non-coding RNA (831 nucleotides) under Homo sapiens (human). RNAcentral describes it as "non-protein coding lnc-GPR26-9:2". Lineage: Eukaryota; Metazoa; Chordata; Mammalia; Primates; Hominidae. The record is from RNAcentral.